GGUGAUUCCGUUGAAAUGGGGAAUUCUCCAUCUAUCUGUUGGUUGUAUUAUUUUUUGAUUAAUAUAAUCCUUGGUAAGCGGUGUAAGUUAGAUAUUUCAUACGGUGCUCACCGUCAAUAGCUGUAUAAUUUCAAAACUCAGAAUUCUGACUUCUUGAAUUAGAUAUUGGAACCUCGGGUGUUGCUACUCGAUAACCGGCUUUGGUUCCCGCGCCUUCCCUUUCUCAGUAAAACUGUAAAUUAUCAUUUUCUCGUAAUUUGUGCUUUUGAUAUUUUCCUUUACAAGUUGGCAAAAAUAAGCUUGACUUGUUCAGGUGGUCAAAAUGGGAAAUCGAAAUACUUUCAGACUAGUGAAGCUGACGGAACAUGCAAAAGGUUUUGUGUCGAAGCUUUGGUACCGGUUGCGUGUUUGUUGCAGAUAUGGAAAUUUUUUAAAAGAGAAGACGCCGAUCAAGUAACUCCAGAUGUAUUUUCAGUCGCGGAUCGAGAUAUUGUCAACGCUAAUAACUACGGCAUUACCUUCCUGAGUCGCCCAGUUUUGUGUCGAAGCUUCGAAAAUUUUAAAAAAUAACACGCCUAUCAAGUAACACCAGAUGUAUUUUCUGUCGCGGAUCGAUAUAUUGUCGACGCGGCAUUGCCUUCCUAAGUCGCUCAGGCGCAGCACCAAGUCGUUUGGAAGAAUAAUCUUCUCUACAGCACUACCAUUGGUCUUCAUGCAGAAUAAAUCGUGAGAUCUAAACCGUUGUGACAGACCUGCGGAAGAGUGUUUGGUGGCAUGCUUUGCAAGAUUUUCUUCAUGAAGCAGAAAUUAAGUCCAGUGGCUUAAAUAUGGCUUGGCAGCUAUGGCGCAAGAAGCCAAAAAGUUCCAAUCGUAAAAUGUUUAUGUAAAAAGGUUAUUUUUGCUUAUUUAAAACACAAGUACAUAACAUAACUCUAGAUCAGUGGUUCAACCUUUUUCUUUCGUGGCCCAUCUUCGUCGCACAGAAAUUCUUGUGGCUCUCUAAUUUUUUAUUGCAAGGAAAAACUACGA
Molecule: non-coding RNA, 1029 nt
Organism: Styela clava
Lineage: Eukaryota; Metazoa; Chordata; Ascidiacea; Stolidobranchia; Styelidae
Source: RefSeq, a predicted model, not a curated record